GGACUACAGGGGUUUCUAAUCCUGUUUGCUCCCCACGCUUUCGUGCCUGAGCGUCAGUGUUAUCCCAGGAGGCUGCCUUCGCCAUCGGUAUUCCUCCACAUAUCUACGCAUUUCACUGCUACACGUGGAAUUCUACCUCCCUCUGACACACUCUAGCUAUGCAGUCACACAGGCCAUUCCCAGGUUAAGCCCGGGGAUUUCACCUAUAUCUUACAUAACCGCCUGCGCACCCUUUACGCCCAGUUAUUCCGAUUAACGCUCGCACCCUACGUAUUACCGCGGCUGCUGGCAC
RNAcentral lists this ribosomal RNA (292 nucleotides) under uncultured bacterium. RNAcentral describes it as "partial 16S ribosomal RNA". The record is from RNAcentral.